RNAcentral lists this RNase P RNA (357 nucleotides) under Metallococcus carri. RNAcentral's name for it is "Bacterial RNase P class A". It matches the Rfam family "Bacterial RNase P class A". From Rfam's summary of the family: Ribonuclease P (RNase P) is a ubiquitous endoribonuclease, found in archaea, bacteria and eukarya as well as chloroplasts and mitochondria. Its best characterised activity is the generation of mature 5'-ends of tRNAs by cleaving the 5'-leader elements of precursor-tRNAs. The record is from Rfam by way of RNAcentral. Lineage: Bacteria; Bacillati; Actinomycetota; Actinomycetes; Micrococcales; Dermacoccaceae. RNAcentral also lists the same sequence under 1 other name.
UGAGUCGGCCGGGCGGCCGCGUCGCGCUUCGCGAGGAGCGCGCCGAGGAAAGUCCGGGCUCCGCAGAGCAAGGUGGUGGCUAACGGCCACCCGGGGUGACCCGCGGGACAGUGCCACAGAAAAUAGACCGCCCGUUCGCGAGGACGGGUAAGGGUGAAACGGUGGUGUAAGAGACCACCAGCGCCCCAGGUGACUGGGGCGGCUCGGUAAACCCCACCUGGAGCAAGACCGCACAGCACGCGCCCGAGGGCUGCUCGCCCGAUGCGUGCGGGUAGGUCGCUGGAGGCUGUCGGCAACGGCAGCCCGGAGAUGGAUGGUCGCCGAUCACAGAACCCGGCUUACAGGCCGACUCAUCCG